GCGCUAUUGGAUGAGCCUACGUCGGAUUAGCUAGUUGGUGGGGUAAAGGCCCACCAAGGCGACGAUCCGUAGCUGGUCUGAGAGGACGAUCAGCCACACUGGGACUGAGACACGGCCCAG
RNAcentral lists this ribosomal RNA (120 nucleotides) under uncultured bacterium. RNAcentral's name for it is "partial 16S ribosomal RNA". It matches the Rfam family "Bacterial small subunit ribosomal RNA", at positions 215 to 334 of the family's 1533-position model. The record is from RNAcentral.